ACAUCCGUGACAGGUGAGACAAACAUCCGUGACAGGUGAGACAAACAUCCGUGACAGGUGAGACAAACAUCCGUGACAGGUGAGACAAACAUCCGUGACAGGUGAGACAAACAUCCGUGACAGCUGAGACAAACAUCCGUGACAGGUGAGACAAACAUCCGUGACAGGUGAGACAAACAUCCGUGACAGGUGAGACAAACAUCCGUGACAGGUGAGACAAACAUCCGUGACAGGUGAGACAAACAUCCGUGACAGGUGAGACAAACAUCCGUGAUA
Molecule: long non-coding RNA, 276 nt
Filed under: Homarus americanus (American lobster)
Lineage: Eukaryota; Metazoa; Arthropoda; Malacostraca; Decapoda; Nephropidae
Description: uncharacterized LOC121879590, transcript variant X5
Source: RNAcentral